Molecule: long non-coding RNA, 6750 nt
Filed under: Gossypium barbadense (sea-island cotton)
Lineage: Eukaryota; Viridiplantae; Streptophyta; Magnoliopsida; Malvales; Malvaceae
Description: long non-coding RNA (GBAR_LNC014136)
Source: RNAcentral
GUACAAGCAUAACAUAACAUUUAAUAAUAUUGAUACUAAAUAUUUACCUUGUCAACUACAACCAUUCAACAAGUGAGUUUAUAUACAAGUUUUACAUACUAUAUUCAACUAUUUAAGGUCAUUCAACUUUAAGUCAUGAUAUAACAUUGGAAAUUCAAGUAAACAUUAAAUAUUUCAUUAUAAUGACAUUAAACCUUUUAUAAUUUCUCGAUGAACGAUAUAAAUAGAUACAGAUACGCAGUUAUCCACCAAAAACAUGCCAAAAAGCUUAAACGAGCCAAACCAACCGAAAACACACCUGGGCACCAAGUGCCCACCAGCCUGUAGGCUAACAUCCCUCUGAAAACAUGUCUGGGCACCAAGUGCCAAGCUCAUAGGCUUUACAUAUGCCCCAAUAACACGCCAGAAUCACUGUAAAUAUAACACGAUAGUCUGCAAAAAAUGCUGAACUUCGGUAUAUUCAAUGGAUAAUAACAAGUCAAGAAUCAUCAUCUCAUCACAAGUUAAUCUCGUACAGCACGCAAUAUAACCUAUUGGCAUGCCAAUUGUACCUUAUCCUACGUUUAUCUGGGCUCAUAACAUAUCAUCGUGUUAACAAUGUUCAAGGCAAUUAUUUUCUCAACUCACAACAGUUUAUAAAAAUUCAAUCAUACCUAAAAUAUUCAACAACCAUAAUUCACAAUCAAUAUAACAUUUCAAAUUAUACUAAACUAAACCGUACAAACUUACCAGGGCUAAACUGUAGAGAUAGUAAAAAUUCAAGGACUAAUUAGCAACUUUCUAUUUUCUUCGAUUGUCAAUAUGUUCUUAAUCUAUAAAGUAGUUUAUUUCAAUUUAUUAGCCUCAAUUUCAUGUAAUAUUCAAUUUAAUACAUAUUUCUUCCUAUUUAUAAUUUUUCACAAUUGUCCCAACCUUUUACACCUUAAUCAAUUUGGUCCCUAUGACCAAAACUAGAUUAUUUUCACAAUUAAACUUUAUACCUAUUAAACUGAAUUUAUAACUACCCAAAACUAGUCCUCACAUAUUGAAAUUUCAUGAGAAAAACAUGUCAUAUUUACAUUAUUUUCAAUUAAAUCCCUAAACUUACAAAUUAUACAAAAUUAUUUUACAAAAUAAUCCUAUUUAACAACCAAGCUUAAUAACCUACCAUUAUACUUCAAAAACAUAUCAUACUCAUCAAUGGCAUCUUCCAGAACAUUUAACAAUUUUACAAAUUAACCCAUGGGUUAGCUAGAUUAAGCUAAAACGGUCUCAAAAAUAUAAAAUUCAUGAAAAACAAUUGAAAAUGAGCGUACAUGCAAUAUAAAAUUUUAACUUUAUUAUAAUAUAAAAUUUUCAUAUAACACAUAAUGAAACAAGCCUAAAUCAGCCACUAGCUAAAGAAAUGGCUUUAUUGCCAUAUUAAACCAUCCUAUUUCACUUAAAUACACAAUUGAUACUAAAAAAAUAGCAACUGAGUUUUGCACCUUUUUACAGUUCAGUCCUUUUUCCUUAAUUAAGUAAUCAAACAAUAAAAUUAAUAGACCAAAAUUUAAUAUGGCACUAUAAUGACCUCAUAAAUAUUAAAUAAAUAAUAUUUACGGACUCACACGUCGAAAUUGUGGACCUAAAUCUAUUAUUUUCUUACACAACUAGAAAACGAGCUGUUAUAUAUAGAAAACUCCAGAAAUGCAAUAUACAGAGUACGCCACAAAGGUAAUAUAAUGCCACAAUGGCUAACAAAAUGUCACAAAGGCCUAAUCAAAAUACGCCAUAAAGACUAACAAAAUGCCCCCAAGCACCCCAUGAACUGUCGUGUUUGUAGUAUGGAUUUGCUUAAACUCACAUCGCAUGAGGUUUGCCUAUCAUCGCCUUGGGACACGCAGAGAACCCCAUUCAAUCAAUGCAACUCAUUCGCCCUUUUCAGAAUGUGCCAUGGCCACGGACUUUUCUUCAAAAUUUUCAUAUUAGAAUUCGUGUUUACUAUCCUGACAGACUUUAUCGAAUACCAUCGCGGUGUUCAAACUCACAUCACAACCUCUCUACACUCGAAUACACCCUAUUCCAAAACAUUUUCAAUCUAACAUCACAUAUCCAAUAUAAACAUAUAUUAUGGCAGGUCAACUCAUUUUUCUUAACCAAAUCAUUCCUUAAUACAUGCUUCAUACGCAUCAACACAAUCACAUUACACAGUAUACAUUAUAGGCACACACAUAGUUGCUUCACAGAAUCACAUACACCCAUACACACAAUUCAUCAUAUUCCAGACUCAUAAGGACUUAAACCAUGAAAUACAUUUUUAUUUCUAGCAAUCAUUCAUGUACUCACAUGCUGUUUUUAGGAACAUAAAUCACAAACAAUCUACUUAUACGAACUUGUAUGAGUUGAUAUUAGAGGCUCACUUGAUACUAAGUUGUAGAAGGUUAAAAUCUUCAAUUCUGAACGCCUUUCACGAAACUGUAGCAUAAACUACUAAAAGAACAUGGAUCCACCAUCAAAACCCAUUUACGGACAGAUUGUUAUAAUCUCAUCUAUAGAUAACCCCUAUGCAUGGGAUCUUAAUCAUAACUUGUUGCAUAUAUAUAUCAUAUUACCCUUACUCUUAACAUGCAAAGUUGUUAAAUUUACCAGGAGAUAGAACAUAACAUUCUCUAUUUAUUCCCAAGAAUCCUUAGCUUUUAGUUUACAUGAGAAUAAUAACCAGCAAUAACAUUUGAUAUUUAAAAUUUUGAGAGUUAUUUUGAAGGAAGAAGAAACUUUCUCAUGAACCCUACUCACAUACAUGUAUAAUCUACUUCCGUUUGAUGUAAUUUGACAAGUGUAAAGACGUUUCAGAAUAUGCCCUUCCUAAAAGCCUAAAAAAUCUAGAAGAAACAUAAAUGAGAGUCUUAUCCAAAAAUUAUUUGACCAGUCAAUUUAAUUAGUUUAUAAACAGAUCUAGUUACUAAGACUUGCUCUUCACAGUGCUUUGAACAAACAAGUUAAACUAUACCUUUUGAAGUAACCUACACAAAGCUUACUUUUCUUUUACAUAAUUAUUUUUUAUUCAAGAAUACAUCAAAACUAAAUCCCGAUAUGCUUCCAUGGGUGGAUACUUGAUUCACCAAGAUAUUAGUUCACUAGAAGCUUAAAAUUUGGUUAACUAACCACUUGUAUCUUGGGGCUAGACCUUUCGUCUCACGAUCCGUGCGGCCUUAGGUGAUCUGUUCAUCCAAACUCUCCUAGGAUAGCCUUCACUCAAUGAGGAUUCCUUAAGAACUCCUCCAAGACACCAAAUUGAAGAGUGCACGCAAAGUGUUUGAGUAAAUGCUCUCAAUUCUCUUAUUCACAAAGACUAAUGAAACGAUGAAUUGAGUGAAUACAAAUGAGGGGGAGGCUCUCUCUAUUUAUAGUUGAGCCCCCCCAAAACUGACGGUCAAGAUACAUUCACAUCGUUAGACGAGAUUAACCAUAUCCCUUUAGUUUAGGGAUUUAUAAGAUAUGCCAUAUCAAAUCUAAUCUAAUCUUUACAAGAUAUGAUUCUCUUAAUCUUCUAAAAUUAGUUACCAAAUUAGCCUAAGUUGUCAUAUCUUCAUUAUCGGGCCAGCCAGACUUCAAUUUGACAGGCUUCUCUAAUAGUUCUUUGAAUCGGGCUAGUUCCCGUGGGCCAAAUGAUCCCCAUCUGAGCAAUAGACCUCCAUUGGAUGUAUUUGGCACAAUGGUCACGGGCUUUGAACUACGACUCGUGACACUAGAGUGUGCUAGAACUAAUAGCUUCUCGUCUACGCGCCUUUAAUUUGGAUCGUCCAAAUUUGAGGUGUGACAAAAACUCUCAAGUACAUUCAAAAUCUAAUUAACCUAAAGAAGAAGUAGUUUUAAACUAAACUUUCUUGUUACUUCUUAUUGACAUAAAACUCCUAAACAAAUUAAAAUACUUAAAAUAUCCAAAAUUCACAAUAAAUAAUAAUGGGAUAAUAAGACCUCAUAAAUACAAUAUUGGGAUCAUAUAUUAUAAAAAUUAAGCCUAAAAAUCAAACCCAAUAAGAUUUAAGCUCGAAUUAAAAAUUUUGCUUCCGCAGUCUUCACUAAAAUAGUCAUAACUUGAGUUCCCGAACUCAAAAUUGAGAGAUUCAAAGUGAUUCUUGAAGAUAAGAGAUAAAUAUUUGAAUUCUAUGAGACAUAUCAACCCAAAAAUGCUUGGAUCCCAUCCAAAAUGUCGUCGUAAGUCAAUUAAUUUUUCAAACUUGAAAAUUAGCAAUUUUGGUGAAUAGAAUUUAAUAAAUUUUACCCCAUCCAUUUAUGUAUCAUUCCUCCUUUCCUCAAAAAGAUUCAUCCUUAAAUAUUUUAUUUUUUAAUAAUAAAGAAUCUUUAUCAUAGGUGGAAUGAGUUAAUUGAGCUCCUCUCAAAGGAUUAACAAAUUUCUGAUAGAAUGAAGCAAGCCCACUAAACAAAUUCAAGUUAAGGUUAGUCAAAACAUAAUCAUUCCUCUAUUUUGGAUAGGUUCACUCUUUCUUUGUAUUCUUUUUUUCAAUGUGAAUUGAGUUCUUUAAUUUUGCAUUGUAGAAAUUUUUAUUCACCAAAGUUGGACCAUCAAAUUGACUUUUAUCGUUCAAGAUCUUUUUUCUUUAUCUUUUUACAUGAAUCAUCAUCACUUCCCAUAUCUCACACACAUGAAUUAUGAAUAUCAGAUUUAGUAGAAUACAUUUCCAUAGGAGGAAAAGACAUUUCUCUCUCAUCUAACUUUAUAAAUUUGGGGAAAAAAAUUCUCACAAUCAUCUUUUCCAUUUCACAAAGUUCGCCAUCACAAAUAUCUUUUCCAUUAGAGUAAGAGUCAACAAAAGGCACAAAGUCAUACUUACUUUAUUCUCUAAUUGGAUAUUGAAUUAGACAUCAGAAACCUUAGCGAUCUUUGAAACUAAACCAAUAACAUUUCACAAUAGGUGAGAGAUCAUUUUCAUUUGGCCAUCACCUCUUGAAUUGGCAUAAUAAUCUAUGCUUAACUUUCCCAUCAUAAUAAGCCUUUGGAUCAUUCUUUCCAUGAUUUUAUGGAAUAAAGAACUUUGGUUUAGCCAAAUAAGGUUGUUCAAUGUCAUUAUUGACAAAAGUCUCAUCAUUCAUGCAAUGUGCACGUUUAACAUUAUUUACAUAAAGACUAGGCUGAUCAACCUCAUCUCUCCAAUUAUGAUUCCAAUGUUCAAUUUGGGUACUUAGAUGAGCCCAUUUUUUUCUGAUUAUGUCUAAAAUGGUGUCUCAUUAUUGAUCUUAGGCAUCUCGAACCUCUUCGAUCCCUUUGCAACUUUUCAAUCAUAUUAUCGAAUUUAUCAUUCAUUACAAAACUAGCAAGGUUUUUCAUGAUAACUAGUGGUUUUUCACUACUAUUAUUACUUUAUUUGCUACCACGAGUAUCACGAGUCAUUAUUAAAGCUUGAAAAUAACACAACUUUUAAAAAACUAAAAUUUAAUCAAACCUCACCGUUAUACUCUCAGAAAUAAAAUUUAACUCUCAAUGAGGUAAGAAUUAAUCUUGUGAGUCUUUUAAAAAUGUUUAUAUCAACCAAUCAAAAUGUGUAAGAAUCUAACUAGCAAAGCAAACCUACUGGUAAAACUAAUUCAAAUCGUAAAGUGUAAGGACAAAUUAUAUUUAAAAAUUGUUUCAAUAAAUUACUGUGUGCAAGUAAUAUAACUAAUGAUGGAGGAGAUGAAAGUUUGAUUAACGAUUAGAAUACUAAAAAAUUUUGUUUUAAGGACGUGGAGUCAGAUGUGAUUAGCAAUAUGGUCGUAAACUCAAUCCCAGCACCAAGAAUGUCUUGGAGAGACAAAGUUUUGGGUAAAGGGACUUUGGAUCUAGCUGUGAUGAGGAAUUUGAGUUUUUUAGACGGGGAUGUCAUGAGAUCCACCAUUAAUAGAUUUUCUGCACUCAACUUCUCUGAAAGGGUUCAUCAAAUUCUUGUCAAAGAUAUGGCGACAACGGUGGUGGUAAAGUUACUAGGCUAGAAUUUAUCAUACUCCCUCCUGCAUAAUAGGAUCCAUAGCAUCUAGAAACCCUCACAAUAGUUCCACCUCAUGGAUGUGGAGAAUCGUUAUUUCCUAGUUAAAUUCCAUAGUCGAGAAGCUUAUGAGAAAACACUUACCCAAGGACUGUGGAUUGUGCUGGGGUAGUAUCUCAAAUUGCAACCAUGGACUUUGAAAUUUAACCCCUUUCAGGCCUAUCCUAAUAACACUUUAGUGUGGGUUUGGUUGUUGGAUCUACCAAGUUUUCUCUAUUAACAUCUUAUACUAGAGGGAAUCGAGGGUUUAAUCGGUAAAGUUACUAAACUUGAUUUUCAGAUGGAUAAGGGGUCAAGUGGGAAAUUUGCCUAGAUGGUAGUGUACAUCGACCUCGAAAAUCCUUUAGUCUCCUAAAUCCUGGUUAACGGUGUAGUACAAAGAGUAGAGUUUGAAUCGUUACCUUCAGUCUAUUUCUCAUGUGACAGGUUUGGCUACUUGCAAAACCUUUUCCCUGGUGUUGGGUCAGCAACAAAUAUCGUGGUGGGUUCAGAUUCAACGAUGAGAGCCUCAUCUAUGAACGACAAAGUGGCGAAGCCGACGGAGGCCUUCGGGCCAUGGAUGCUUGUUGAAUGAAAAUCUUGGCAUAACUCAAAGAAAUGAGAAUAGCCAAAAUUGAUGCCUUGAACUCUAAUGGAAAUAAAAUCCCUAUAAAUAAAGCCAAGAGGAUGGAUUUAGUAGGAGUGAGAUUUAAAAAGGGUGAUUUUUUAAAGGAGAAAAGUCAGGGUUUCUUUAAAGAGAAAAAAA